GUAGGUGGCAAGCGUUGUCCGGAAUUAUUGGGCGUAAAGCGCGCGCAGGCGGGUCCUUUAAGUCUGAUGUGAAAGCCCACGGGCUCAACCGUGGAGGGUCAUUGGAAACUGGGGGACUUGAGUACAGAAGAGGAAAGCGGAAUUCCAAGUGUAGCGGUGAAAUGCGUAGAGAUUUGGAGGAACACCAGUGGCGAAGGCGGCUUUCUGGUCUGUAACUGACGCUGAGGCGCGAAAGCGUGGGGAGCAAACAGGAUUAUAUACCCUGGUAGUCCACGCCGUAAACGAUGAGUGCUAAGUGUUAGGGGGUUUCCGCCCCUUAGUGCUGCAGCUAACGCAUUAAGCACUCCGCCUGGGGAGUACGGCCGCAAAGGCUG
RNAcentral lists this ribosomal RNA (374 nucleotides) under uncultured organism. RNAcentral's name for it is "partial 16S ribosomal RNA". It matches the Rfam family "Bacterial small subunit ribosomal RNA", at positions 527 to 896 of the family's 1533-position model. The record is from RNAcentral.